Molecule: ribosomal RNA, 497 nt
Filed under: uncultured bacterium
Lineage: Bacteria
Description: partial 16S ribosomal RNA
Rfam family: Bacterial small subunit ribosomal RNA
Source: RNAcentral
GAUGAACGCUGGCGGCGUGCCUAAUACAUGCGAGUCGAGCGAACAGACGAGGAGCUUGCUCCUCUGACGUUAGCGGCGGACGGGUGAGUAACACGUGGAUAACCUACCUAUAAGACUGGGAUAACUUCGGGAAACCGGAGCUAAUACCGGAUAAUAUAUUGAACCGCAUGGUUCAAUAGUGAAAGACGGUUUUGCUGUCACUUAUAGAUGGAUCCGCGCCGCAUUAGCUAGUUGGUAAGGUAACGGCGUACCAAGGCAACGAUGCGUAGCCGACCUGAGAGGGUGAUCGGCCACACUGGAACUGAGACACGGUCCAGACUCCUACGGGAGGCAGCAGUAGGGAAUCUUCCGCAAUGGGCGAAAGCCUGACGGAGCAACGCCGCGUGAGUGAUGAAGGUCUUCGGAUCGUAAAACUCUGUUAUUAGGGAAGAACAAAUGUGUAAGUAACUAUGCACGUCUUGACGGUACCUAAUCAGAAAGCCACGGCUAACUACGUG